RNAcentral lists this ribosomal RNA (470 nucleotides) under uncultured Asaia sp. Its description in RNAcentral is "bacterial SSU rRNA". It matches the Rfam family "Bacterial small subunit ribosomal RNA", at positions 244 to 731 of the family's 1533-position model. Lineage: Bacteria; Pseudomonadati; Pseudomonadota; Alphaproteobacteria; Acetobacterales; Acetobacteraceae. The record is from RNAcentral.
GCUUGUUGGUGGGGUAAAGGCCUACCAAGGCGAUGAUCGAUAGCUGGUCUGAGAGGAUGAUCAGCCACACUGGGACUGAGACACGGCCCAGACUCCUACGGGAGGCAGCAGUGGGGAAUAUUGGACAAUGGGCGAAAGCCUGAUCCAGCAAUGCCGCGUGUGUGAAGAAGGUCUUCGGAUUGUAAAGCACUUUCGACGGGGACGAUGAUGACGGUACCCGUAGAAGAAGCCCCGGCUAACUUCGUGCCAGCAGCCGCGGUAAUACGAAGGGGGCUAGCGUUGCUCGGAAUGACUGGGCGUAAAGGGCGCGUAGGCGGUUCACACAGUCAGAUGUGAAAUUCCAGGGCUUAACCUUGGGGCUGCAUUUGAUACGUGUAGACUAGAGUGUGAGAGAGGGUUGUGGAAUUCCCAGUGUAGAGGUGAAAUUCGUAGAUAUUGGGAAGAACACCGGUGGCGAAGGCGGCAACCUG